UACGAAGGGGGCUAGCGUUGUUCGGAUUUACUGGGCGUAAAGCGCACGUAGGCGGAUCGUUAAGUCGGGGGUGAAAUCCUGGAGCUCAACUCCAGAACUGCCUUCGAUACUGGCGAUCUUGAGUCCGGAAGAGGUGAGUGGAACUCCUAGUGUAGAGGUGGAAUUCGUAGAUAUUAGGAAGAACACCAGUGGCGAAGGCGGCUCACUGGUCCGGUACUGACGCUGAGGAGCGAAAGCGUGGGGAGCAAACAGG
RNAcentral lists this ribosomal RNA (253 nucleotides) under uncultured bacterium. RNAcentral's name for it is "partial 16S ribosomal RNA". It matches the Rfam family "Bacterial small subunit ribosomal RNA", at positions 524 to 776 of the family's 1533-position model. The record is from RNAcentral.